This is a regulatory RNA element of Gracilibacillus kekensis, 183 nucleotides long. It matches the Rfam family "Lysine riboswitch aptamer". Rfam says of the family: Riboswitches are metabolite binding domains within certain messenger RNAs that serve as precision sensors for their corresponding targets. The record is from Rfam. Lineage: Bacteria; Bacillati; Bacillota; Bacilli; Caryophanales; Bacillaceae.
AGUGAGAAUAGAGGUGCAAAAACCAUUAGUAAAUAAUCGGAGGACGAUGUAGCCUGUGAUGAUUAUUGAAAGGGGAAUUUGCCGAAGUGAUUUAGAAUUACAUUCUUCUCUGUCACUGGUCCUACAUUGAAAAAAUGUCGGGCUGUCAUAUAGUGCUACACUAUAUGGAGGGCUAUCUCACGC